This is a long non-coding RNA of Acinonyx jubatus (cheetah), 898 nucleotides long. RefSeq lists it as uncharacterized. The transcript is spliced from 2 exons. The record is from RefSeq and is a predicted model, not a curated record. NCBI's taxonomy places the organism in Eukaryota, Metazoa, Chordata, Mammalia, Carnivora, Felidae.
AGUAGAAAGGACAGCAUAUGUAAAAUUUCUGAGGCAGGAAUAAGCUUGGUGCAACAGAGGAACAGCAAAUGUGCCAGUGAGGCUAGAGGGGUAGGAACAAAGGAAUGACAGUAGAAGAUGAGGACACAGGAGACAGAAAGGCAGGGCCAGAUGUCAUGGACCUUGAAAGCCAUGCUCUUGAUCGGUGACUUUGAUGAAGCAUACGGACAUAUGGAGAGGACAAUGUGGCAAGGGACCAAGAGUGACUUCUGGUCAACAGUCACUAAGGAACUGAGACUCUCAGUUCAACAGUUCAGAAGGAACUGAAACUUCCAGUUAUUACAGGAGCAGGAAACCUGAUGCUUCCUCCUUUGAGCCUUCACAUGAAGACCCCACCAUGGCAGGUACCUUGAUUGUAGUCUUAUAAGAGAUCAUAAAGAAGAGGGUGCAGCUAAGCCCCACCCAGACUCAGACCCACAGUGAUUCUGAGAUCAUUCGUGUGUCGUUUUAACCUGCCAAGUUCAUAGUAAUUUGUUACAAAGCAAUAGUUAACUAAUACACCUCUUGAGAUGCCACUAAAAUGAAGUUGAAGAAAGGAAUAACAUGGGUACUAACCCACAAGGAAAAGAAGAAAGCCAAGAAAAGAUAAAAAUAGUGGAUAUGAUAUAUUCCAAUUUUGUAAGAUGGGGAGCUCACAGAUGUGUAGUGACUAACUUGGUAAAGCCAUAAAAGGUGAAACCUAUGUCCCUAUAAAAGAGGAAACCAACAAGAACAAAGUUGACUCUUGCUACAGAGACUCAAGAAUUGGCAACACCAGGGGGCGCCUGACUGGAUCACUCAGUAGAGCAUGCAACUCUCCAUCUCAGGGUCCUGGGUUCAAGACCCAUAAUGGGGGUAGAGUUCACUUUAAAAAUAAAAA